This 861-nucleotide ribosomal RNA is filed under the name uncultured Bacteroidota bacterium. RNAcentral describes it as "bacterial SSU rRNA". It matches the Rfam family "Bacterial small subunit ribosomal RNA", at positions 59 to 916 of the family's 1533-position model. Lineage: Bacteria; Pseudomonadati; Bacteroidota. The record is from RNAcentral.
AAGUCGAGGGGCAGCGCGGGGCGGCAACGUCCUGGCGGCGACCGGCGGAAGGGUGCGUAACGCGUGAGCGACAUGCCCGUUGCCCGGGGACAACCGGUGGAAACGCCGACUAAUCCCCGAUGGGACGGAGGCCCUCAUGGGUCUCUGUUGAAAGUUACGGCGGCGACGGAUUGGCUCGCGUCCGAUUAGCUUGUUGGCGGGGUAACGGCCCACCAAGGCUACGAUCGGUAGGGGUUCUGAGAGGAAGGUCCCCCACAAUGGAACUGAGACACGGUCCAUACUCCUACGGGAGGCAGCAGUGAGGAAUAUUGGUCAAUGGGCGGAAGCCUGAACCAGCCAUGCCGCGUGCGGGAAGGAGGCCCUAUGGGCUGUGAACCGCUUUUGCCUGGGGGCAAUAAGGGCGUCGCGCACGUCCGAUGAGAGUACCAGGGGAAUAAGCAUCGGCUAACUCCGUGCCAGCAGCCGCGGUAAUACGGGGGAUGCGAGCGUUAUCCGGAUUCAUUGGGUUUAAAGGGUGCGUAGGCUGUGCGUCAAGUCAGGGGUGAAAUUCCGGGGCUCAACUCCGGGGCUGCCCUUGAUACUGUCGCGCUGGAGUGCGGAUGCCGCCGGAGGAAUGAGUGGUGUAGCGGUGAAAUGCUUAGAUAUCACUCAGAACACCGAUUGCGAAGGCAUCUGGCGAAUCCGUAACUGACGCUGAGGCACGAAAGCGUGGGGAUAGAACAGGAUUAGAUACCCUGGUAUUCCACGCCGUAAACGAUGAUGGCUAACCGCCGGCGACAUACUGUCGGUGGCCAAGCGAAAGCGAUAAGCCAUCCACCUGGGGAGUACGUCGGCAACGAUGCAACUCAAAUGAAUUGACGG